RNAcentral lists this transfer RNA (74 nucleotides) under Bacillota bacterium. RNAcentral describes it as "tRNA-Trp". It matches the Rfam family "tRNA". Rfam says of the family: Transfer RNA (tRNA) molecules are approximately 80 nucleotides in length. RNAcentral also lists the same sequence under 2 other names. Lineage: Bacteria; Bacillati; Bacillota. The record is from RNAcentral.
AGGGGUGUAGUUGAAUGGCACAACUACGGUCUCCAAAACCGUCGAUGGGGGUUCGAUUCCCUCCGCCCCUGCCA